UACGUAGGGUGCGAGCGUUAAUCGGAAUUACUGGGCGUAAAGUGUGCGCAGGCGGCAGAGCAAGUCGAGUGUGAAAGCCCCGGGCUUAACUUGGGAAUUGCGCUCGAAACUACUUUGCUGGAGUGUGGCAGAGGAAGGUGGAAUUCCUGGUGUAGCGGUGAAAUGCGCAGAUAUCAGGAGGAACACCGGUGGCGAAGGCGGAUCUCUGGGCCAUUACUGACGCUGAGGAGCGAAAGCGUGGGGAGCGAACAGG
Molecule: ribosomal RNA, 253 nt
Filed under: uncultured bacterium
Lineage: Bacteria
Description: partial 16S ribosomal RNA
Rfam family: Bacterial small subunit ribosomal RNA
Source: RNAcentral